AACGAACGCUGGCGGCGUGGAUAAGACAUGCAAGUCGAACGCUUAUCUUUGUGUAGUAAUACAUGAAGGUAGGAGUGGCGCAAGGGUGCGUAACACGUGGGUAAUUUGCCGCGAAGUCCGGGAUAACUUGCUGAAAGGCGAGCUAAUACCGGAUGUGGAAAUUGGAAGGCAUCUUUUGAUUUCUGAAGCUGGGGACCUGUAAGGGCCUGGCGCUUUGCGAUAAGCCCGCGGCCUAUCAGCUAGUUGGUGAGGUAACGGCUCACCAAGGCUAAGACGGGUAGCUGGUCUGAGAGGACGACCAGCCACACUGGAACUGAGACACGGUCCAGACACCUACGGGUGGCAGCAGUCGAGAAUUUUUCUCAAUGGGCGCAAGCCUGAAGGAGCGACGCCGCGUGUGGGAUGAAGGGUUUCGAUCCGUAAACCACUGUCAUUUGCGAACAAACCCUGGAGUUUAAGAGAUGCCAGGCUGAUUGUAGCG
Molecule: ribosomal RNA, 481 nt
Filed under: uncultured bacterium
Lineage: Bacteria
Description: bacterial SSU rRNA
Rfam family: Bacterial small subunit ribosomal RNA
Source: RNAcentral